GAUGAACGCUGGCGGCGUGCUUAACACAUGCAAGUCGAACGGAAAGGCUCUUCUUUUGUGGGGUGCUCGAGUGGCGAACGGGUGAGUAACACGUGAGUGAUCUGCCCUUCACUUUGGGAUAACCCCGGGAAACUGGGGCUAAUACCGGAUAGGACGUCCUUCUGCAUGGUUGUGGUUGGAGUGUUUCGGCGUUUGGGGAUGUCCUCGCGGCUUAUCAGCUUGUUGGUGGGGUAGUGGCCUACCAAGGCUUUGACGGGUAGCCGGCCUGAGAGGGUGGACGGCCACAUUGGGACUGAGAUACGGCCCAGACUCCUACGGGAGGCAGCAGUGGGGAAUAUUGCACAAUGGGCGGAAGCCUGAUGCAGCAACGCCGCGUGGGGGAUGACGGCCUUCGGGUUGUAAACCGCUUUCGCCAGGGACGAAGCGUAAGUGACGGUAAUGGGUAAAGAAGCACCGGCUAACUACGUG
This 468-nucleotide ribosomal RNA is filed under the name uncultured bacterium. RNAcentral's name for it is "partial 16S ribosomal RNA". It matches the Rfam family "Bacterial small subunit ribosomal RNA", at positions 28 to 507 of the family's 1533-position model. The record is from RNAcentral.